GACGAACGCUGGCGGCGUGCUUAACACAUGCAAGUCGAACGGAAAGGCCCCUUUGGGGGUACUCGAGUGGCGAACGGGUGAGUAACACGUGAGUAACCUGCCCUUGACUUCGUGAUAACUUCAGGUAACUGGGGCUAAUACCGGAUAGGAAUCCUUGCUGCAUGGUUGGGGUUGGAGAGCGUCGGCGGUUGUGGAUGGACUCGCGGCUUAUCAGCUUGUUGUUGGGGUAGUGGCUUACCAAGGCUUUGACGGGUAGCCGGCCUGAGAGGGCGACCGGCCACAUUGGGACUGAGAUCCGGCCCAGACUCCUACGGGAGGCAGCAGUGGGGAAUAUUGCACAAUGGGCGGAAGCCUGAUGCAGCAACGCGGCGGGCGGGAUGACGGCCUUCGGGUUGUAAACCGCUUUCAGCAGGGGCGAAGCUUGUGGUGACGGUACCUGCAGAAGAAGCACCGGCUAACUACGUG
Molecule: ribosomal RNA, 465 nt
Filed under: uncultured bacterium
Lineage: Bacteria
Description: partial 16S ribosomal RNA
Rfam family: Bacterial small subunit ribosomal RNA
Source: RNAcentral